This 69-nucleotide transfer RNA is filed under the name Sorex unguiculatus (long-clawed shrew). RNAcentral describes it as "tRNA-Phe". It matches the Rfam family "tRNA". From Rfam's summary of the family: Transfer RNA (tRNA) molecules are approximately 80 nucleotides in length. Their secondary structure includes four short double-helical elements and three loops (D, anti-codon, and T loops). The record is from RNAcentral. Lineage: Eukaryota; Metazoa; Chordata; Mammalia; Eulipotyphla; Soricidae.
GUUCAUGUAGCUUAAUACUAAAGCAAAGCACUGAAAAUGCUUAGAUGAGUUGUUAUGACUCCAUAAACA